Molecule: non-coding RNA, 107 nt
Organism: Gossypium hirsutum (cotton)
Lineage: Eukaryota; Viridiplantae; Streptophyta; Magnoliopsida; Malvales; Malvaceae
Source: Rfam
AACCCAUGGUAAUGGCACCUUCUCAAUAAGUCCUUAUACCUCUCUCAUGCAUCAUAUAGGGUCUCUAAGUCAAUUUGAACAAAGGAAGAGAUAUCAUUCCUUAACUU